This 90-nucleotide transfer RNA is filed under the name Bacteroidales bacterium. RNAcentral describes it as "tRNA-Ser". It matches the Rfam family "tRNA". Rfam says of the family: Transfer RNA (tRNA) molecules are approximately 80 nucleotides in length. Their secondary structure includes four short double-helical elements and three loops (D, anti-codon, and T loops). The record is from RNAcentral. RNAcentral also lists the same sequence under 1 other name. Lineage: Bacteria; Pseudomonadati; Bacteroidota; Bacteroidia; Bacteroidales.
GGAGAGGUGGCCGAGUGGUCUAAGGCGCACGCCUGGAAAGUGUGUGUUCCGCGUGAAACGGGACCGAGGGUUCGAAUCCCUCUCUCUCCG